UAGGGAAUCUUCCACAAUGGACGCAAGUCUGAUGGAGCAACGCCGCGUGAGUGAAGAAGGUUUUCGGAUCGUAAAGCUCUGUUGUUGGUGAAGAAGGAUAGAGGUAGUAACUGGCCUUUAUUUGACGGUAAUCAACCAGAAAGUCACGGCUAACUACGUGCCAGCAGCCGCGGUAAUACGUAGGUGGCAAGCGUUGUCCGGAUUUAUUGGGCGUAAAGCGAGCGCAGGCGGAAGAAUAAGUCUGAUGUGAAAGCCCUCGGCUUAACCGAGGAACUGCAGCGGAAACUGUUUUUCUUGAGUGCAGAAGAGGAGAGUGGAAUUCCAUGUGUAGCGGUGGAAUGCGUAGAUAUAUGGAAGAACACCAGUGGCGAAGGCGACUCUCUGGUCUGCAACUGACGCUGAGGCUCGAAAGCAUGGGUAGCGAACAGG
This 429-nucleotide ribosomal RNA is filed under the name bacterium. Its description in RNAcentral is "partial 16S ribosomal RNA". It matches the Rfam family "Bacterial small subunit ribosomal RNA", at positions 355 to 776 of the family's 1533-position model. The record is from RNAcentral. RNAcentral also lists the same sequence under 1 other name.